UAGUACAUUUCUAGAACAUAGCCAAUGAUAACAAUUCUGCAAAUCACUUCAAGUUCUCACCCUUGAGUUCAUUAAAUGAAGAGUUUUACGAAAAACCCAUUUGCUGUUGCUCAAUAAAAACUCCCAGAGCUGCUUCUCUGCAGCCAAAAAGGUUCAAGUUGGGAGCUUUUGGGAGGCAAAGAUGGAGUUUUGGUGAAGUUUGUAGGGACAAAGAUGGGAUUUUUUGGAAAGAAGAAGGGUGGAAGAGGAAGAGAAGAAUGGUUUUGGUGAUGUUUAAUCGAGGCUUUGGGUUUAAUCGUGGCGACGGUGGCAGUAGUGAUGGUGGAAGUGGUGGUGGGAAAAUUAAUAGCGACACUGCUAGGCUUCUGGGAAAUAUUGCUUUGGCUAUCGGGUUGACAUAUCUUUCAGUCACUGGUCAAAUUGGCUGGGUUUUAGAUGCUAUUGUCUCUAUUUGGCUCAUUGCAGUGAUCGUUCCUAUUGUUGGUGUGGGAGCCUUCCUUUGGUGGGCGGGGAGGGAUAUUGUUCAAAGCAGUUGCCCAAAUUGUGGAAACGAUUUUCAGAUUUUCAAGUCUUUCCUAAACGAUGAGUUGCAGCUGUGCCCUUACUGCAGUCAACCAUUUUCAGUGGUGGAUGACAAAUUUGUCAAGGAACCUGUAAAGUUCUCCAACGAAGCCUCGAAAGCAAAACAAGCAUUCAAUGGCUUCUCUCCUGGUUUCAAGAAAGGAAACGUUUCUUCGGGGCCGGUUGUUGAUGUUGAAGCAGAAGUGAAAGAUGCGGAUUGAGAGCUAGCAUAGACGGUAAAGAACUUAAAAUGUGUGCAUUACUUCGAGCUUUCUAAAUUCGAGUUGCUAACAGAGUGGGUGCAAUCUUGCAACUUAUGCAUAUCUAUGUAUAUGUCUUGCACCGUCGGAUCGGAGAACACUGCAGUGAAGAGGAUUGUCAUGUUGUAGAUGAAUAACAGGAAUGUGACAUUGCAAAUGCUCGUUCGAUUUUGAUAAACUGUGUCGGUAUAGCGUAACUCUAUAUUUUCUUCAUCCUUCGUUCCGGUAGAAGUCGAAAGAAUAGGUCACUUCAUGUUCUGCACUGCAUAACGCUGUAUAUAAUUUGUUGGCAGCUACUAUAUAUCUGUUUCUCUUCCAUUCUCUUCAUAUUU
Molecule: RNA transcript, 1153 nt
Organism: Hibiscus syriacus
Lineage: Eukaryota; Viridiplantae; Streptophyta; Magnoliopsida; Malvales; Malvaceae
Exons: 7
Source: RefSeq, a predicted model, not a curated record